RNAcentral lists this unclassified non-coding RNA (358 nucleotides) under soil metagenome. RNAcentral's name for it is "partial contains 5.8S ribosomal RNA, internal transcribed spacer 2, and large subunit ribosomal RNA". The stretch from base 1 to 120 matches the Rfam family "5.8S ribosomal RNA", at positions 35 to 154 of the family's 154-position model. The record is from RNAcentral.
GAUGAAGAACGUAGCGAAAUGCGAUAAGUAAUGCGAAUUGCAGAAUUCAGUGAAUCAUCGAAUCUUUGAACGCACAUUGCGCCCGCCAGUAUUCUGGCGGGCAUGCCUGUCUGAGCGUCGUUUCGACCCUCGCGCCCGGCUUCUGUCGGGGGCGGUGUUGGGGAUCGGCCACACCCUUCAGUGGGAGGCCGGCCCCUAAAUUCAGUGGCGACCACGCUGUAGCCUCCCCUGCGUAGUACUAAAACCACCUCGCAGGCGGAGAGCGGUGCGGCCCGCCGUAAAACCCCCCAACUUUUACAAGGUCGACCUCAGAUCAGGUAGGAAUACCCGCUGAACUUAAGCAUAUCAAUAAGCGGAG